AUUGAACGCUGGCGGCAGGCCUAACACAUGCAAGUCGAACGGUAGCACAGAGGAGCUUGCUCCUCGGGUGACGAGUGGCGGACGGGUGAGUAAUGUCUGGGGAUCUGCCCGAUAGAGAGGGAUAACCACUGGAAACGGUGGCUAAUACCGCAUAACGUCGCAAGACCAAAGAGGGGGACCUUCGGGCCUCUCACCAUCGGAUGAACCCAGAUGGGGUUAGCUAGUAGGCGGGGUAACGGCCCACCUAGGCGACGAUCCCUAGCUGGUCUGAGAGGAUGACCAGCCACACUGGAACUGAGACACGGUCCAGACUCCUACGGGAGGCAGCAGUGGGGAAUAUUGCACAAUGGGCGCAAGCCUGAUGCAGCCAUGCCGCGUGUAUGAAGAAGGCCUUCGGGUUGUAAAGUACUUUCAGCGGGGAGGAAGGCGAUGUGGUUAAUAACCGCAUUGAUUGACGUUACCCGCAGAAGAAGCACCGGCUAACUCCGUGCCAGCCGCCGCCGUAA
RNAcentral lists this ribosomal RNA (506 nucleotides) under uncultured bacterium. Its description in RNAcentral is "partial 16S ribosomal RNA". It matches the Rfam family "Bacterial small subunit ribosomal RNA", at positions 29 to 523 of the family's 1533-position model. The record is from RNAcentral.